AUUGAUAACCUACCUUUGAGAUGGGAACAACAACGUUCCAAGUAAUUGGGGCUACCGAAAGGGUUGCUAAUUCUCAAUAAAAAUGCUGACACUUUGGUGUCGGCAGUCAAAGAAAUGGAUCUGAAAAGGUCCAUUUGCUCAGAGAGGGGUCAAUGUCCUAUCAGCUAGUUGGUAGGGUAAUGGCCUACCAAGGCGAAGACGGGUAGCCGGCCUGAGAGGGUGGUCGGCCACACUGGGACUGAGACACUGCCCAGACUCCUACGGGAGGCUGCAGUCGAGAAUCUUUCGCAAUGCCCGAAAGGGUGACGAAGCGACGCCGCGUGUGGGAUGAAGGCCUUCGGGUUGUAAACCACUGUCGGGAGUUAAGAAUUAUAGGAAUGCUAAUAGUAUUUCUACUUGACUAAGGCUCCGGAGGAAGCCACGACUAACUCUGUGCCAGCAGCCGCGGUAAUACAGAGGCGGCAAGCGUUGUUCGGAAUUAUUGGGCGUAAAGAGCAUGUAGGCGGCUAUGUAAGUCGGUUGUGAAAGCCUUCCGCUUAACGGAAGAAUGGCGGUCGAAACUGCAUGGCUUGAGUGCGGG
RNAcentral lists this ribosomal RNA (580 nucleotides) under uncultured bacterium. Its description in RNAcentral is "bacterial SSU rRNA". It matches the Rfam family "Bacterial small subunit ribosomal RNA", at positions 117 to 652 of the family's 1533-position model. The record is from RNAcentral.